Cavia porcellus (domestic guinea pig) is the source of this 3762-nucleotide long non-coding RNA. RefSeq lists it as uncharacterized. The record is from RefSeq and is a predicted model, not a curated record. The transcript has 2 exons. NCBI's taxonomy places the organism in Eukaryota, Metazoa, Chordata, Mammalia, Rodentia, Caviidae.
ACUGGAGUCUGACAGGAAAUGACACGCUUUCCACUGCAGUCUGACAGGAAUUGACACCCUUCCUGCUGGAGUCUGACAGGAAAUGACACCCUUCCACUGAAGUCUGACAGGAAAUGACACGCUUUCCACUGCAGUCUGACAGGAAUUGACACCCUUCCCACUGGAGUCUGACAGGAAAUGACACCCUUGGUAGUGGAGUCUGACAGGAAUUGACACCCUUCCCACUGGAGUCUGACAGGAAAUGACACCCUUCCACUGCACUCUGACAGGAAUUGACACCCUUCCCACUGGAGUCUGACAGGAAAUGACACGCUUUCCACUGCAGUCUGACAGGAAUUGACACCCUUCCCACUGGAGUCUGACAGGAAAUGACACCAUUUCCACUGGAGUCUGAGAGAAAAUGACACCCUUCCCAGUGAAGACUGACAGGAACUGACACCCUUCCCACUGAAGUCUGACAGGAAAUGACACCAUUCCUGCUGAAGUCUGACAGGAAAUGAUACCCUUCCCGCUGGAGUCUGAGAGAAAAUGACACCCUUCCCACUGGAGUCUGACAGGAAUUGACACCCUUCCCGCUGAAGUCUGACAGGAAAUGACACCAUUCCUGCUGAAGUCUGACAGGAAAUGAUACCCUUCCCGCUGGAGUCUGAGAGAAAAUGACACCCUUCCCACUGGAGUCUGAGAGAAAAUGACACCCUUCCCACUGGAGUCUGACAGGAAUUGACACCCUUCCCACUGAAGUCUGACAGGAAAUGAUACCCUUCCCGCUGUAGUCUGACAAAAAUGACACCCUUCCUGCUGGAGUCUGACAGGAAAUGACACCCUUCCUGCUGGAGUCUGACAGGAAAUGACACCCUUCUUGCUGGAGUCUGACAGGAAAUGACCCCUUUCCCAGUGGAGUCUGACAGGAAGUGACACCUUUCUCACUGGAGUCUCACAGGAAAUGACACCCUUCCCAGGGGAGUCUGACAGGAAGUGACACCUUUCUCACUGGAGUCUGACAGGAAAUGACACCCUUCCUGCUGGAGUCUGACAGGAAAUGACACCCUUCCUGCUGGAGUCUGACAGGAAAUGACACUCUUCCUGCUGGAGUCUGACAGGAAAUGACCCCUUUCCCAGUGGAGUCUGACAGGAAGUGACACCUUUCUCACUGGAGUCUGACAGGAAAUGACACCCUUCCCAGGGGAGUCUGACAGGAAGUGACACCUUUCUCACUGGAUUCUGACUGGAAAUGACACCCUUCCCAGUGAAGACUGACAGGAAUGACACCCUUCCCACUGGAGUCUGACAGGAAUUGACACCCUUCCCAAUGGAGUCUGACAGGAAGUGACACCUUUCUCACUGGAGUCUGACAGGAAAUGACACCCUUCCCAGUGAAGACUGACAGGAAUUGACACCCUUCCCACUGAAGCCUGACAGGAAGUGACACCAUUCCUGCUGGAGUCUGACAAGAAAUGACACCCUUCCCACUGGAGUCUGACAGGAAUUGACACCUUCCCGCUGAAGUCUGACAGGAAAUGAUACCCUUCCCGCUGUAGUCUGACAGGAAAUGACACCCUUCCUGCUGGAGUCUGACAGGAAAUGACACCCUUCCUGCUGGAGUCUGACAGGAAAUGACACCGUUCCCAGUGGAGUCUGACAGGAAAUGACAUUCUUCACACUACAGUCUGACAGGAAAUGGCACCCUUCCCACUGGAGUCUGACAGGAAGUGACACCUUUCUCACUGGAGUCUGACAGGAAAUGACACCCUUCCCACUGUAAUCUGACAGGAAAUGAUACCUUUCUUGCUGGAGUCUGACAGGAAAUGACACUCUUCCUGCUGGAGUCUGACAGGAAUUGACACCCUUCCCAAUGGAGUCUGACAGGAAGUGACACCUUUGUCACUGGAGUCUGACAGGAAAUGACACCCUUCCCAGUGAAGACUGACAGGAAUUGACACCCUUCCCACUGAAGCCUGACAGUAAGUGACACCAUUCCUGCUGGAGUCUGACAAGAAAUGACAGCCUUCCUAGUGGAGUCUGACAGGAAUUAACACCUUUCCUGCUGGAGUCUGACAGGAAAUGACACCCUUCCCAGUGGAAUCUGACAGGAAUUAACACCUUUCCUGCUGGAGUCUGACAGGAAAUGACACCCUUCCCAGUGGAAUCUGACAGGAAAUGACAUCCUUUGCACUACAGCCUGACAGGAAAUGACACCCUUCCCAGUGGAGUCUGACGGGAAAUGACACCCUUCCCACUGGAGUCUGACAGGAAAUGACAUCCUUCGCACUACAGUCUGACAGGAAAUGACACCAUUCCCACUGGAGUCUGACAGGAAAUGACACCCUUCCCACUGGAGUCUGAUAGGAAUUGACAUCCUUCCCACUGGUGUCUGACAAGAAAUGGCACCCUUCCCAGUGGAGUCUGACAGGUAAUGACACCGUUCCCACUGUAGUCUGACAGGAAUUAACACCCUUCCCAGUGGAGUCUGACAGGAAUUGACACCCUUCCCACUGAAGUCUGACAGGAAAUGACAUCCUUCUCACUGGAGUCUGACAGGAAAUGGCACCCUUCCCGAUGGAGUCUGACAGGUAAUCUCAUUGGAGUCUGACAGGAAAUGACACCCUUCCCGAUGGAGUCUGACAGGUAAUCUCACUGGAGUCUGACAGGAAAUGACACCCUUCCCAGUCUGAUAGGAAAUGGAGUCUAAGAAGGUGACACUGAAGGGAGCAGGAGCAAGAAAACGUUCCAGAUGGGAUGGAAGUGCCAAGGCCUGACGAAUACUGGAGAGGGAAGUGCCUGCUGGAGAGCUAGAAGGCCAGCUGGGAUGGGGAAGCUGAGGAUAAACCAGCCCAGAGUGUGGUAGCUCCAAAAGCAUGAAAGAAGGCUGACUUCUGCCCCAGAUACCCGGGGACCACUGAAGGGCAGAGUGGGAUGACCUCACAAAGGGUCAGUUGGGGUGUCCAGGAGGCCGGAGCAGAGCCGAGACUGGUCAGGUUGCUGACAGCCGCUGGGAGGCUGGUGCUAACCACUGAGCUGCAGGAGGCGGAUGUGGAGGCAGGUGGGAGAUGUCACCGGAGACACUCCCCUUCCUAGUGACACCACACACCAGCGGGGCCGUUCCUGAGGGGCAGUGGAGGAGGAGCCUUGGGAACUGCUCGGGACACCAGUGUGCUGCUGCUGGCCCCACCUCACUGUCCCUGCUGGAGUCCCCAGGGGGGCCCGAUGCCUGGAGCAGCCAGCGUCUGCCCUGCCUUAGAAGGGACCUCAGCACCAGCGGGUGAGCAGCGCCUGUGUUCCCGAGAGGCCAUCCCGCCCAGGCUCAGCCCAGCCAGCACCGUGACCAUCCGACAUGGAGACUGCAACCCCGCACUGCCAGGCUGCGCCAUGGCUGCCCUAAGAGGCCAUCUGCCUGCCCUACUGGACGGCAGAGAUGCAAGUGCUUGGUCGCUCUGGACCCGGCCACGUCGGUGUCCCACAAGCGGCCCCUGGCUGGAUGCUGAGAAGAAGGGGCUGAAAUAACCCAGGGAGGCCUGAGCCACGCGUGACCCUGGAGAGGAAGAGCAGGCCGACUGCACUAACCCUCUGCUCAGAGCGCUCUGCGUGCAGCUCAGGCCGCAGCCUGUUGGGGUGGACCCCGCUCACCACCUGCCCAGGGCUGCGGGCCUGGCCACUCUUCGUGCCCCACAUCUGUGAUGCGGGGAGGGGUCAGCGAGAGCCAGGUCUCGAGAGGCCGUUGUGAGGCUUCAGAGAACCACGUAAAGUAAAAGCCACUUCGCUCUG